Molecule: ribosomal RNA, 253 nt
Filed under: uncultured bacterium
Lineage: Bacteria
Description: partial 16S ribosomal RNA
Rfam family: Bacterial small subunit ribosomal RNA
Source: RNAcentral
UACGUAGGUGGCAAGCGUUGUCCGGAAUUAUUGGGCGUAAAGCGCGCGCAGGCGGUCCUUUAAGUCUGAUGUGAAAGCCCACGGCUCAACCGUGGAGGGUCAUUGGAAACUGGGGGACUUGAGUGCAGGAGAGAAGAGUGGAAUUCCACGUGUAGCGGUGAAAUGCGUAGAUAUCGGAAGGAACACCAGUGGCGAAAGCGGCUUCCUGGUCCAGCACCGACGUUCAGGCACGAAAGCGUGGGGAGCAAACAGG